AAUAUCAAAGGUGAGCCAGUACAGGAUGGACCCGCGUCUGAUUAGCUAGUUGGUAAGGUAACGGCUUACCAAGGCGACGAUCAGUAGCCGACCUGAGAGGGUGAUCGGCCACAUUGGAACUGAGACACGGUCCAAACUCCUACGGGAGGCAGCAGGGGGGAAUAUUGCACAAUGGGCGAAAGCCUGAUGCAGCAACGCCGCGUGAGUGAUGAAGGCCUUCGGGUCGUAAAACUCUGUCCUCAAGGAAGAUAAUGACGGUACUUGAGGAGGAAGCCCCGGCUAACUACGUGCCAGCAGCCGCGGUAAUACGUAGGGGGCUAGCGUUAUCCGGAUUUACUGGGCGUAAAGGGUGCGUAGGCGGUCUUUCAAGUCAGGAGUGAAAGGCUACGGCUCAACCGUAGUAAGCUCUUGAAACUGGGAGACUUGAGUGCAGGAGAGGAGAGUGGAAUUCCUAGUGUAGCGGUGAAAUGCGUAGAUAUUAGGAGGAACACCAGUUGCGAAGGCGGCUCUCUGGACUGUAACUGACGCUGAGGCACGAAAGCGUGGGGAGCAAACAGGAUUAGAUACCCUG
RNAcentral lists this ribosomal RNA (571 nucleotides) under Clostridioides difficile. RNAcentral describes it as "bacterial SSU rRNA". It matches the Rfam family "Bacterial small subunit ribosomal RNA", at positions 197 to 789 of the family's 1533-position model. The record is from RNAcentral. Lineage: Bacteria; Bacillati; Bacillota; Clostridia; Peptostreptococcales; Peptostreptococcaceae.